RNAcentral lists this ribosomal RNA (579 nucleotides) under uncultured Bacteroidales bacterium. Its description in RNAcentral is "bacterial SSU rRNA". It matches the Rfam family "Bacterial small subunit ribosomal RNA", at positions 96 to 671 of the family's 1533-position model. Lineage: Bacteria; Pseudomonadati; Bacteroidota; Bacteroidia; Bacteroidales. The record is from RNAcentral.
CGGCGCACGGGUGAGUAACACGUAUCCAACCUGCCGUCUACUCUUGGCCAGCCUUCUGAAAGGAAGAUUAAUCCAGGAUGGGAUCAUGAGUUCACAUGUCCGCAUGAUUAAAGGUAUUUUCCGGUAGACGAUGGGGAUGCGUUCCAUUAGAUAGUAGGCGGGGUAACGGCCCACCUAGUCAACGAUGGAUAGGGGUUCUGAGAGGAAGGUCCCCCACAUUGGAACUGAGACACGGUCCAAACUCCUACGGGAGGCAGCAGCGAGGAAUAUUGGUCAAUGGGCGAUGGCCUGAACCAGCCAAGUAGCGUGAAGGAUGACUGCCCUAUGGGUUGUAAACUUCUUUUAUAAAGGAAUAAAGUCGGGUAUGCAUACCCGUUUGCAUGUACUUUAUGAAUAAGGAUCGGCUAACUCCGUGCCAGCAGCCGCGGUAAUACGGAGGAUCCGAGCGUUAUCCGGAUUUAUUGGGUUUAAAGGGAGCGUAGAUGGAUGUUUAAGUCAGUUGUGAAAGUUUGCGGCUCAACCGUAAAAUUGCAGUUGAUACUGGAUGUCUUGAGUGCAGUUGAGGCAGGCGGAAUUCGU